CACGCAGGCGGUCUGUUAAAUUAGGAGUGAAAGCCCUGGGCUCAACCUGGGAAUUGCCUUUAAGACUGGCAGACUUGAAUCCAGAAGAGGGUAGUGGAAUUCCAAGUGUAGAGGUGAAAUUCGUAGAUAUUUGGAAGAACACCAGUGGCGAAGGCGACUACCUGGUCUGGCAUUGACGCUCAUGUGCGAAAGCGUGGGGAGCAAACAGGAUUAGAUACCCUGGUAGUCCACGCUGUAAACGAUGAGUGCUAGUUGUUGGGGACCAUAGGUCUUCAGUGACGCAGCUAACGCAUUAAGCACUCCGCCUGGGGAGUACGGCCGCAAGGUUAAA
RNAcentral lists this ribosomal RNA (331 nucleotides) under uncultured bacterium. RNAcentral's name for it is "bacterial SSU rRNA". It matches the Rfam family "Bacterial small subunit ribosomal RNA", at positions 568 to 898 of the family's 1533-position model. The record is from RNAcentral.